RNAcentral lists this ribosomal RNA (117 nucleotides) under Nannospalax galili (Upper Galilee mountains blind mole rat). Lineage: Eukaryota; Metazoa; Chordata; Mammalia; Rodentia; Spalacidae. The record is from RNAcentral.
ACCAGCUGCACCAUCCUGAAUACACUUGAGCUCACCUGAUCUUGGAAACUAAAAAGGGUGGGGCUUGGUUAGUACUUGGAAGGGAAACCACCUGGGAAUACCCUGUACUUACUGGCU